This 396-nucleotide ribosomal RNA is filed under the name uncultured bacterium. RNAcentral's name for it is "partial 16S ribosomal RNA". It matches the Rfam family "Bacterial small subunit ribosomal RNA", at positions 523 to 918 of the family's 1533-position model. The record is from RNAcentral.
AUACGUAGGUGGCAAGCGUUGUCCGGAUUUACUGGGUGUAAAGGGCGUGUAGGCGGAGAUGCAAGUCAGGAGUGAAAUCUAGGGGCUCAACCCCUAAACUGCUUUUGAAACUGUAUCCCUUGAGUAUCGGAGAGGCAGGCGGAAUUCCUAGUGUAGCGGUGAAAUGCGUAGAUAAUAGGAGGAACACCCGUGGCGAAGGCGGCCUGAUGGACGACAACUGACGCUGAGGCGCGAAAGCGUUGGGAGCAAACAGGAUUAUAUACCCUGGUAGUCCACGCUGUAAACGAUGAAUAAUAGGUGUGGGGGGACUGACCCCCUCCGUGCCGCAGUUAACACAAUAAGUAUUCCACCUGGGGAGUUCGUUCGCAAGAUUGAAACUCAAAUGAAUUAACGGGG